RNAcentral lists this transfer RNA (74 nucleotides) under Patescibacteria group bacterium. RNAcentral describes it as "tRNA-Gln". It matches the Rfam family "tRNA". From Rfam's summary of the family: Transfer RNA (tRNA) molecules are approximately 80 nucleotides in length. The record is from RNAcentral.
UGGGGAAUCGUCUAAUGGUAGGACAACGGACUUUGACUCCGUUUGUCUAGGUUCGAAUCCUAGUUCCCCAACCA